UGAUGCAGCCAUGCCGCGUGUGUGAAGAAGGCCUUCGGGUUGUAAAGCACUUUCAGCAGUGAGGAAGGUGGUGUCGUUAAUAGCGGCAUCAUUUGACGUUAGCUGCAGAAGAAGCACCGGCUAACUCCGUGCCAGCAGCCGCGGUAAUACGGAGGGUGCGAGCGUUAAUCGGAAUUACUGGGCGUAAAGCGCAUGCAGGUGGUUUGUUAAGUCAGAUGUGAAAAGCCCCGGGGCUCAACCUCGGAAUUGCAUUUGAAACUGGCAGACUAGAGUACUGUAGAGGGGGUAGAAUUUCAGGUGUAGCGGUGAAAUGCGUAGAGAUCUGAAGGAAUACCGGUGGCGAAGGCGGCCCCCUGGACAGAUACUGACACUCAGAUGCGAAAGCGUGGGUAGCAAACAGGAUUAGAUACCCUGGUAG
This 418-nucleotide ribosomal RNA is filed under the name uncultured bacterium. RNAcentral's name for it is "bacterial SSU rRNA". It matches the Rfam family "Bacterial small subunit ribosomal RNA", at positions 384 to 793 of the family's 1533-position model. The record is from RNAcentral.